Equus caballus (horse) is the source of this 844-nucleotide long non-coding RNA. RefSeq lists it as uncharacterized. NCBI's taxonomy places the organism in Eukaryota, Metazoa, Chordata, Mammalia, Perissodactyla, Equidae. The record is from RefSeq and is a predicted model, not a curated record.
UGAGGAAAUUGAGGCUCCUGCAAUUAGAAGUAUAAAAUCAGAGACUGGGACCCACAACCAUUCGUUCCAGCCCCAGCUCCCUCGUUUUAGUAACCGGCAACCCCAUCCACCUUGGUGCUUAGCUCAAAAAUGUCAGGAGCCUUCCCUCUGCCACAGUGUUGACACAGAGGGUUCGUCUUCCUCCUAAAUUAGCGGGACCUUGCGCUGGCAGAUGGACCCUCCUACCAGAACUCCCAUCUGUUGAUUUUGUGCUCCAUGCCGCAGCUCCUGAAUGGUGCCGAUAUGUUUUAAUCUUUAAAAUAUAUGUGACUUUGACAUUCUACUCAUUAACAUCUCUAUUUGUAUGAACAGAGAAAUAAAAUGUUUUUCUUAGCCAAAUCUUUGAAUAAUAUCGAAGCUUGAAGGAAAUGAGCCGUGGCCUUGAGCACCCAGAACACACUGAUAAAGCUGAUGCAUUUGGUUGUGUGUUUCCAGUUAGUCAACCCCAGCUUGCCUCUUGGCAGACGACAGUAACAGAUGAGAAGGUGCUUUCUGUGUCAGCAUUAAUGUAUCAUUGAAAGCAAAUCACUGCCAAUUUGUAAGAUGAGACUGCCAUCUAAGAGAAAAACCACCAUAUUAUCAGGCUGAAAUAUUUGGAGGGGAAAACUGAAGAUGGAGGCAGAGACUGCAGUCAGGCAGCUGCAAGGUGAGGAACACCACGGACUGACGGCACCAGCAGAAACGAGGAAGAGGCAAGAAAGGAUUCUACCCAGAGCCUCAGAGAGAGCAUGGCCCUGCUGACACCUCGAUUUCAGACUUGUAGCCUCCAGAACUGGAGAUAAUAAAGCUCUGUUUUUCUAAGCCA